RNAcentral lists this ribosomal RNA (419 nucleotides) under uncultured bacterium. RNAcentral describes it as "bacterial SSU rRNA". It matches the Rfam family "Bacterial small subunit ribosomal RNA", at positions 355 to 791 of the family's 1533-position model. The record is from RNAcentral.
UGGGGAAUAUUGCACAAUGGGGGAAACCCUGAUGCAGCGACGCCGCGUGGAGGAAGAAGGUCUUCGGAUUGUAAACUCCUGUUGUUGGGGAAAAGAAGGAUGGUACCCAACAAGGAAGUGACGGCUAACUACGUGCCAGCAGCCGCGGUAAAACGUAGGUCACGAGCGUUGUCCGGAAUUACUGGGUGUAAAGGGAGCGCAGGCGGGUAUGCAAGUUGGGAGUGAAAUACAUGGGCUCAACCCAUGAACUGCUCUCAAAACUGUGUAUCUUGAGUAGUGCAGAGGUAGGCGGAAUUCCCGGUGUAGCGGUGGAAUGCGUAGAUAUCGGGAGGAACACCAGUGGCGAAGGCGGCCUACUGGGCACCAACUGACGCUGAGGCUCGAAAGUGUGGGUAGCAAACAGGAUUAGAUACCCGAGU